Molecule: long non-coding RNA, 1506 nt
Filed under: Malus domestica (apple)
Lineage: Eukaryota; Viridiplantae; Streptophyta; Magnoliopsida; Rosales; Rosaceae
Description: long non-coding RNA (MDOM_LNC019580)
Source: RNAcentral
ACAACACAAACAACCAAUGCUUAUUCCUUCGUUAUAUGAACAAAGGAACUUACGAAGAUUAGCAUAAAGAAAAUGACACUUUUAGUGUUAUUAGUUCUUCACUUACAAAUCGUUGUAUGAAGAAAUAAUGAGUUGCUUUGAACAACCCUUAGUCAAUGCAAACACUUAGUGCUUGUUUCUUUGUUAUAUGAACAAAGAACUUGAGAAGAAAGCACAAAGGCAUGGACACUUUACGUGUCAUGAUUCUUCACUUACAAAUUGUUGUAGGAAGAAAUGAGAGUUGCCUUGUACAACUCUUGAAAGUUUGUAAUUAUGUUUAGAACAUAAUGGUUGGUUGACAAAAAUAGUCCAUCAACAUGGACUUAUGAUGAUUUUGAAUCAUUGAGUGUUGAAGUGUUAAAACACUUCUAGAGACGGGAACUAGGCAAGGACUUCACCUUUGUGUCCCUAUCCUAAUCGUUCACUAAGUUUAUUGUAAACUAUAUAGUGAACAAUAACCACAUGCUCUCCAAAAUGUUUAAUGUGUAUAACACAAUUGAAAUAAGUUUCAAGAGAGAUAGUGGGAGUUUAGGGACCAUGACUAUUGUAGUCAAAGGAGAAGUCAAAUGAAGAAGAUUAAAAUUAACUCCUAGGGAACAAACUUUCUUUAUGAAAGGAUGGACAUUGGAAGGGGUAUUUGCAAGAAAUGUCUUGCAAGUGUCAAGAACACACCUUUCGAAGAUGUUGUAAAUUGUUCUUGAAUAGUUCAAAACAGUUGGUUCUUCUACUUGAAUGCUUGAUUCCGUAUUAGUAACUAUGUUUUACAAUCGUUGUAAAAGUGUGACUAAUAAGAAGUAGAAGAUUAAUGAGAGAAGAGAAAGUACUUCACAUUCGAAACGUGAAUCAAAUGUAGAUCUCUGCGAAAGCAGAUGGUACUUACUUCCUCAUAUGAACUACCAAAGAAAUUGGAAAAACAUAGAUUGUCUUUAUAUUCCAAAAUUUUAAGGAACUAAAUUCCGUCACUAUGUGAAAUGGAUAAAUGUUUUGUUUGACAAAACAAUGUUCUUUAUUAAUCAAUGAUUGGAUUAUGGUAAUCUAAUUAAUUAUCUCUAUAGUAGAGAUAAUAUGGUAGUGUUAACUGUUCAGAAAAUAAUGAUGCUUAAAACCCAAAAGGUUGCAAGGUAGUGACUAAUCCCAACUAAAGUUGUGAUACCUCUAAAACAUAAAUUACGAGUUGGUCAUAGAUGGACGCUUUGGAUCGUUAGAUCCGGAUCCAAUACCUUCUUGUUAACAUUGUAUAGAGGCGAAAUGUUCGAAUCUUUAUUCUUUUGGAAAGAAGAAAGAAUCACAAAGUUGUUGAGGUUAAUUCACUUAGAUGUUAGUGGCACUUGUCCACAAACAUAAUACUACUCAUGUUAUAUGACAUUCACCGAAGAUCACUCUCGGUUGGACUAUAAUUUAUUUUGAAUAAACACAAGUCCGAAUACUUUGCAAAAUGUUUCAAAGAAUUCAAGUAAUGUAAGUUGA